CUUUUCUUCCACAAACAUGGGACCAAGGAUCAAGAGUUCAAUCAUCUGUAAAAAUGGAAAAACAAUACCUACUUCACAAGAUUCCUAUGGUAAUUAAUGAGGAUGCAGUGUGAGAGUGAUGAUGAACCAGCCUCCCCGGACAAGGUGUUGAGAGCAGGUGAAUAACGUCAGAGCUCUUAAACAGGGGGACUAUUACUAUUAUCAGAGGAAACUGAAGUACAGAGAAGAUAAUAACUUCCCGAGAUUAACAGAGC
Long non-coding RNA from Orcinus orca (killer whale), 254 nucleotides. RefSeq lists it as uncharacterized. Lineage: Eukaryota; Metazoa; Chordata; Mammalia; Artiodactyla; Delphinidae. The record is from RefSeq and is a predicted model, not a curated record. The transcript has 3 exons.